CUCUCGAUCUACUAGUUUAGUCUUUUGAGCAGUGCAUGGUGGUGUAUUUCGAGUGGUUUUCAAAUGAAGGAGGAAUAUUUGUCGCAUGAUACCUGACCCAGUGAAGUGAGGGAUAAUGGGACACCACUCCUCUGACAGCUAGGAGGACAGCCAUAGCAGGAGGAAGAAGAAGGAAAAUCACGGAAGGCGCUCCUAUUCCUCCAGCUCCUCCGGCAGCCAGGUGACCAGCCACAGAAAGAGGUCCAGCAGCUGAUCCAGAGACAGAGACAGGAGACGCAGGCGGCGGUCCAACAGCAGCUCGUCCCGAAGGAGGAGGGAGCGGAGAUGGAGGCCGAGGCAGGACCAACCGCUCCCAUAGGACAUGCAGCCGCACCCGCAGGUCUUGUGAGCGUGUUGUCUCUCCAGGUCUUGUGAGCGGCUGCGUUCUCGCAGCAGGAGCAGCGGCCGGUCCAGCCGCAAGAAGAGCCGCAGCCGCAGCCGAGACCGCAGCCGGCUGAAGGGCCUCGACAAAGACAAGGAGAAGAACAGGGACCGAGACAAUGGCAGGGACCGAGACAAGGGCAGGGACUGAGACGAGGGCCGGGACCGAGACAAGGACAGAGCCAAAGCCAAGAGGUCGGACAAACAAGGGGACAGCGCCAUCAAAGCAGCAUGAGAACAUCUGACACCUGCAGAACAGGCCAAGGCUCAACUCCAGCUGGUGUUGCAGCCAUAACAGAUGAGGUACUGAAAGCCAAGAAGAGGAAGGACGAGGAGGCCAAGAAGAUGAAGAGGGGACGUCGCUGGCUGAUCAAGUGCGAAGGAUAAAGGACAUUGAGGCCAUUGAGAGUGAAUCCUUUGUUCCUCAGGCUUUCAAAUCAUCCCGAGACAGUGUGAAGACAUCAGCAGACAUUACAGACAUCAGCUCUCUACCUACUACAAUCCGCUACAACGACAGCGACACGCUAGCACACCCCAGGUUGUUCCUGGACAAGGAGAAGGCCGAGGAGCUUUGGCUCAACAGGCUGAUGUCUCUCCGCCAGGAGAGGCUCAUGGGUAGUCCUGUGCCCUGAUUGGACGAGCUCUAAUUAGUCUAUCCUUGUCAGGCCACACCGUCAGGAACAAUCCCCUGUCCCUAAACAUGAAUCUUUAUACAUUUUUAUUUAAUCCCUCAUUCACUGGACUUCCCUCAUACUUUUUGUCAAGAAACUACAAUGUUUCAAGAAGAUUUGUAUUUUGUCAUUUAAAAAAAU
Long non-coding RNA from Oncorhynchus kisutch (coho salmon), 1232 nucleotides. RefSeq lists it as uncharacterized. The record is from RefSeq and is a predicted model, not a curated record. NCBI's taxonomy places the organism in Eukaryota, Metazoa, Chordata, Actinopteri, Salmoniformes, Salmonidae. The transcript is spliced from 10 exons.